AAGACGAGGAGCCGCUCCUCGACGAGCUCGGGAUCCACCCCGAUCAGAUCUGGAAGAAGACCAGAUCCAUCCUCAACCCGUUCCGGAUCAACCAAACCGUCCACCACGACUCGGAUCUAUCCGGCCCGAUCUUCCUCUACCUCGCGCUCUGCCUAUUCCAGCUCCUCGCGGGGAAGAUCCAGUUCGGGGUGAUCCUCGGGUGGAUCGUGGUGUCGUCGAUCUUCCUCUACGCGGUGUUCAACAUGCUCGCGGGGAGGAAUGGGAAUCUGAAUCUGCACACGUGUACGAGUUUGGUUGGGUACUGUUUGCUUCCGGUGGUGAUUUUGUCUGCUGUGUCGUUGUUUGUGCCGCAGGGAGCUGGGGCGGUUAGGUUUGUGGUUGCGGGGGUGUUUGUGUUGUGGUCGACGAGGGCGUGCUCGGCGUUGGUUGUGUCUUUGGCUGAUGGUGGGGAGGAGCAUCGUGGGUUGAUCUCUUACGCUUGUUUCUUGAUCUAUACGCUCUUCUCUCUUCUUGUUAUAUUUUGAUGAUUUUAUGGAGUAUUGAUAGUUUUUUUUUUAAUCUAAAGUUUGUUUGAUUUUGUGGUGGGUAUAGUGGAGCGAUGUGUAAAGGCUUCAUGUUUUAAUUUUAAUUCAAUGUUUGUAUCUUUUGACUUCAGGAUUUUAUAUUUACAGAGUUUAUUAUCAAUGUGUUUGUGAAAGUGUAUCUGAGUGAAUGAUCAUCGGGAUUUUACAUGCGGUGAACUAAUGGAGAAGAAGCUGUGUAUUGAGAAGAGCUUAUCUGCUUCUGUUUUAGUGUUUCUUUUGCCUUUUUGAUUUCCGGUUAGGAUGUUGUGGAGAUGUGGUUUUAGAUCCGAUUAGGAAUGCUUGACACUGUUAGGAGAGGAUUUGCCUAUUUGAUUAUGGUUUUAGGUAAGCAAAAAUAAAAUAAAAAUGAGUUGGUUUAAGCAUUUUGGCUGUUUGGAACUAAGGCUUAGUCGAAUGAAAUGCUCUGAUCAUCCUCUGGAUUGGUCUGUUCUCCGAUUAGGUGUCUAUAGGGAAGUAGAAGGAAAAAUAUUCUUGGCUUCAACAUAUUCUACUACUGUCAAUCCCAGAUUCUUGCCCUCCCUAAGAGUAUUCGCUGUGUCAUAAAACGAGUUUUCUACUCAAUCAUGUUCUUUUGAUGGAAAUUGCAUUAAACAGCAUAUUGGUUAGCUUGACAUCCGCGCAGAGAUCAGAGUAAGGCAGGAGAUCUUAUCUUAACUUGUGUUUGGUCUGAACAGAGGGAGAGGGUUUAGUCGAAAACUUCAUAUAAUAUAUAGAUCAAAAGAGAAAGAAGGAACAUAAAAAGGGUUCGAGACCCAUAUAUAUUCUUAAAGCGUCUCUUUUGUAUCUCUUCCAACAAAAAACCUCGGGUGGAUCGUGGUGUCGUCGAUCUUCCUCUACGCGGUGUUCAACAUGCUCGCGGGGAGGAAUGGGAAUCUGAAUCUGCACACGUGUACGAGUUUGGUUGGGUACUGUUUGCUUCCGGUGGUGAUUUUGUCUGCUGUGUCGUUGUUUGUGCCGCAGGGAGCUGGGGCGGUUAGGUUUGUGGUUGCGGGGGUGUUUGUGUUGUGGUCGACGAGGGCGUGCUCGGCGUUGGUUGUGUCUUUGGCUGAUGGUGGGGAGGAGCAUCGUGGGUUGAUCUCUUACGCUUGUUUCUUGAUCUAUACGCUCUUCUCUCUUCUUGUUAUAUUUUGAUGAUUUUAUGGAGUAUUGAUAGUUUUUUUUUUAAUCUAAAGUUUGUUUGAUUUUGUGGUGGGAAUAGUGGAGCGAUGUGUAAAGGCUUCAUGUUUUAAUUUUAAUUCAAUGUUUGUAUCUUUUGACUUCAGGAUUUUAUAUUUACAGAGUUUAUUAUCAAUGUGUUUGUGAAAGUGUAUCUGAGUGAAUGAUCAUCGGGAUUUUACAUGCGGUGAACUAAUGGAGAAGAAGCUGUGUAUUGAGAAGAGCUUAUCUGCUUCUGUUUUAGUGUUUCUUUUGCCUUUUUGAUUUCCGGUUAGGAUGUUGU
RNAcentral lists this long non-coding RNA (2022 nucleotides) under Brassica napus (rape). Its description in RNAcentral is "long non-coding RNA (BNAP_LNC004018)". Lineage: Eukaryota; Viridiplantae; Streptophyta; Magnoliopsida; Brassicales; Brassicaceae. The record is from RNAcentral.